RNAcentral lists this ribosomal RNA (506 nucleotides) under uncultured bacterium. Its description in RNAcentral is "partial 16S ribosomal RNA". It matches the Rfam family "Bacterial small subunit ribosomal RNA", at positions 29 to 523 of the family's 1533-position model. The record is from RNAcentral.
AGUGAACGCUGGCGGUAGGCCUAACACAUGCAAGUCGAACGGCAGCACAGGAGAGCUUGCUCUCUGGGUGGCGAGUGGCGGACGGGUGAGGAAUACAUCGGAAUCUACUUUUUCGUGGGGGAUAACGUAGGGAAACUUACGCUAAUACCGCAUACGACCUACGGGUGAAAGCAGGGGAUCUUCGGACCUUGCGCGAUUGAAUGAGCCGAUGUCGGAUUAGCUAGUUGGCGGGGUAAAGGCCCACCAAGGCGACGAUCCGUAGCUGGUCUGAGAGGAUGAUCAGCCACACUGGAAGUGAGACACGGUCCAGACUCCUACGGGAGGCAGCAGUGGGGAAUAUUGGACAAGGGGCGCAAGCCUGAUCCAGCCAUACCGCGUGGGUGAAGAAGGCCUUCGGGUUGUAAAGCCCUUUUGUUGGGAAAGAAAUCCAGCUGGUUAAUACCCGGUUGGGAUGACGGUACCCAAAGAAUAAGCACCGGCUAACUUCGUGCCAGCCGCCGCGGUAA